UUUCAUUUCUCUUGGAGAUGCACUUAGCCGUGAAGUUACUUCAUUUUUUGGGCCUCAGUGUUUGCCUAUAAGACAGGAUCAGGCUCUCACAUGGUUAUUUGUAUGAACUGAUGAGAUGUUUGCCUGGUACAAGGUGGGUGUUAAAGAAAUGGAAGCUAAUGAUAAAAUGAUUUUGUUUCUCUGUGCCUGAAUCUCGUCCUCAGGAGCUUAUAAUUUAGUAGACACAUAAGCCACAAACAGAAGCCAGCUCUGUGUCAGGCCCCAUGAGAAGUCCGCAGGUGCGAUCUUCAAUUUGGAGACUACAGGAAGGAUGGCUGGGGAGGCCUCAGGAAACUUACAGUCACAGCGGAAGGCAAAGAGGAAGCAGGCAGCGGCUUCGUGGCAGGAGCAGGAGGAAGGCGGUGGGGAGGUGCUACAUACUUUUAAACAACUGGAUCUUGUGAGAACUCACUAUCACGAGAACAGCAAGGGGGAAUUCUGCGCCCUGAUCCAGUCACCUCCCACCAGGCUCCUCCUCCAACAGUGGGGAUUACAAUUCGACAUGAGAUUUGAGUGGGGACACAGAUCCAAACCAUAUCAGUGUCAUUAAAAAAAUAGUUGCCCUGCUAACUUUUUUAAUCCCCUGUAACUCUAAAUAAAAUAAUGAUGUGAACAUAACACAUUUAGAGUCCCUGGUUCAUUUCCUGGCUGUAUUAGUCUGUUUUCACACUGGUAUAAAGAUACUACCUGAGACUGGGUAAUUCAGGAAGGAAAGAAGUUUAAUUGAUUCACAGUUC
This 776-nucleotide long non-coding RNA is filed under the name Homo sapiens (human). RNAcentral's name for it is "HSALNT0245519". Lineage: Eukaryota; Metazoa; Chordata; Mammalia; Primates; Hominidae. The record is from RNAcentral.